Talpa occidentalis (Iberian mole) is the source of this 366-nucleotide long non-coding RNA. RefSeq lists it as uncharacterized. The transcript has 3 exons. Lineage: Eukaryota; Metazoa; Chordata; Mammalia; Eulipotyphla; Talpidae. The record is from RefSeq and is a predicted model, not a curated record.
GAGCCACAACCUGUUAGUAGCAGAUGCUUGUGAUAAACCACAUCCUGUCAACCCAUCUGAUUCAGCACUAUUAAGGUGGACAGCUCCAUGCAUUUGACAAUGUCAUAUGUCACGCACUGUAUGGGACUUGUUCUUUACUUUCUCCAAAGCACCAAAGCCUGCUCAGCUGUACACAGACAGAACUUGAGGUCAACUAGAAUAUCUAUUCCAUGGAAAUAGGAGACGGUGUUUUACUCAACAUGCUAUCCCUGUAACAAGAAAAGUACUUGAAGAAUAGCAGGUUUUCAAGGAAGGAAAAUAACAGUGCUACUUUAUAGGGUUGUGGAGAGGAUUAAAUAUAGGGGUGCCUGGAAUGUACUUGACAUG